RNAcentral lists this ribosomal RNA (407 nucleotides) under uncultured bacterium. RNAcentral describes it as "partial 16S ribosomal RNA". It matches the Rfam family "Bacterial small subunit ribosomal RNA", at positions 30 to 526 of the family's 1533-position model. The record is from RNAcentral.
AUUGAACGCUGGCGGCAGGCCUAACACAUGCAAGUCGAGCGGAGCGGCGGACGGGUGAGUAAUGCCUAGGAAUCUGCCUGGCAGUGGGGGAUAACUUCCGGCUACGGGCGCUAAUACCGCCUACUUUCAGAUGAGCCUAGCCCGGAUUAGUUAGUUGGUGGGGUAAAGGCCUACCAAGGCGACGAUCCGUAACUGGUCUGAGAGGAUGAUCAGUCACACUGGAACUGAGACACGGUCCAGACUCCUACGGGAGGCAGCAGUGGGGAAUAUUGGACAAUGGGCGAAAGCCUGAUCCAGCCAUGCCGCGUGUGUGAAGAAGGUCUUCGGAUUGUAAAGCACUUUAAGUUGGGAGGCGUUACCAACAGAAUAAGCACCGGCUAACUUCGUGCCAGCAGCCGCGGUAAUUC